GACUCUGUUCACGGCCGCGGUAUCCUAACCGUGCGAAGGUAGCGUAAUCACUUGUUCUUUAAAUGUGGACUAGUAUGAAUGGCAUCACGAAGGUUAUACUGUCUCCUUUUUCUAAUCAGUGAAACUAAUCUCCCCGUGAAGAAGCGAGGAUAAAACUAUAAGACGAGAAGACCCUAUGGAGCUUUAAACAUUUAUAACACUUGCUAAAUAAAAUACAAAUUUCAGAAUUAUUUAAUCUUUAAGCAACUUGUCUAUAAGUUUUUGGUUGGGGUGACCGCGGAGCAUAAUACAACCUCCAUGUUGAAAGAUCUAUUUCUAAGCUAAGAGCUACACCUCUAAGCAUCAACAUAUUGACAUCCAUUGACCCAAUAUAUUUGAACAACGAACCAAGUUACCCUAGGGAUAACAGCGCAAUCCACUUCAAGAGCUCCUAUCGACAAGUGGGUUUACGACCUCGAUGUUGGAUCAGGGUUUCCCAGUGGUGCAGCCGCUACUAAAGGUUCGUUUGUUCAACGAUUAAAACCCUACGUG
This 531-nucleotide ribosomal RNA is filed under the name Duttaphrynus himalayanus (Himalayan toad). RNAcentral's name for it is "partial large subunit ribosomal RNA". It matches the Rfam family "Bacterial large subunit ribosomal RNA", at positions 1917 to 2602 of the family's 2925-position model. Lineage: Eukaryota; Metazoa; Chordata; Amphibia; Anura; Bufonidae. The record is from RNAcentral.